GAAACAGCCCAGACCACCAGCUAAGGUCCCAAAAUAUAUGUUAAGUGGAAAAGGAUGUGGCGUUGCCCAGACAACUAGGAUGUUGGCUUAGAAGCAGCCAUCAUUUAAAGAGUGCGUAAUAGCUCACUAGUCGAGUGACACUGCGCCGAAAAUGUACCGGGGCUAAACAUAUUACCGAAGCUGUGGAUUGUCCUUUGGACAAUGGUAGGAGAGCGUUCUAAGGGCGUUGAAGCAUGAUCGUAAGGACAUGUGGAGCGCUUAGAAGUGAGAAUGCCGGUGUGAGUAGCGAAAGACGGGUGAGAAUCCCGUCCACCGAUUGACUAAGGUUUCCAGAGGAAGGCUCGUCCGCUCUGGGUUAGUCGGGUCCUAAGCUGAGGCCGACAGGCGUAGGCGAUGGAUAACAGGUUGAUAUUCCUGUACCACCUAUAAUCGUUUUA
This 437-nucleotide ribosomal RNA is filed under the name Staphylococcus aureus. Its description in RNAcentral is "partial 23S ribosomal RNA". It matches the Rfam family "Bacterial large subunit ribosomal RNA", at positions 1019 to 1461 of the family's 2925-position model. The record is from RNAcentral. Lineage: Bacteria; Bacillati; Bacillota; Bacilli; Caryophanales; Staphylococcaceae.